This 273-nucleotide ribosomal RNA is filed under the name uncultured prokaryote. Its description in RNAcentral is "partial 16S ribosomal RNA". It matches the Rfam family "Bacterial small subunit ribosomal RNA", at positions 526 to 798 of the family's 1533-position model. The record is from RNAcentral.
CGUAGGGUGCGAGCGUUGUCCGGAAUUACUAGGCGUAAAGGGCAGGCAGGCGGAUCCAUAAGUUUAUCGUUUAAGGCGUCGGCUUAACCGGCGUAGGGCGGUAGAUACUGUGGAUCUGGAAUGCGGUUGGGGAAGACAGAAUUCCUGGUGUAGCGGUGGAAUGCGCAGAGAUCAGGAGGAAUACCGAAGGCGAAGGCAGUCUUCCAAGCCGUUAUUGACGCUCAACUGCGAAGGUGUGGGUAUCAAACAGGAUUAGAUACCCCUGUAGUCCCU